Halobacillus sp. BBL2006 is the source of this 110-nucleotide regulatory RNA element. It matches the Rfam family "SAM riboswitch aptamer (S box leader)". Rfam says of the family: The SAM riboswitch is found upstream of a number of genes which code for proteins involved in methionine or cysteine biosynthesis in Gram-positive bacteria. The SAM riboswitch acts at the level of transcription termination control. The record is from Rfam. NCBI's taxonomy places the organism in Bacteria, Bacillati, Bacillota, Bacilli, Caryophanales, Bacillaceae.
UUCUUAUCAAGAGAGGCAGAGGGACUGGCCCUGUGAAGCCUCAGCAACCACUGGUAUAUCCAGUAAGGUGCUACGUCCAGCAAGUUGUAACCCAACUUGGAAGAUGAGAA